AUUGAACGCUGGCGGCAGGCCUAACACAUGCAAGUCGAGCGGAUGACGGGAGCUUGCUCCUUGAUUCAGCGGCGGACGGGUGAGUAAUGCCUAGGAAUCUGCCUGGUAGUGGGGGACAACGUUUCGAAAGGAACGCUAAUACCGCAUACGUCCUACGGGAGAAAGCAGGGGACCUUCGGGCCUUGCGCUAUCAGAUGAGCCUAGGUCGGAUUAGCUAGUUGGUGGGGUAAUGGCUCACCAAGGCGACGAUCCGUAACUGGUCUGAGAGGAUGAUCAGUCACACUGGAACUGAGACACGGUCCAGACUCCUACGGGAGGCAGCAGUGGGGAAUAUUGGACAAUGGGCGAAAGCCUGAUCCAGCCAUGCCGCGUGUGUGAAGAAGGUCUUCGGAUUGUAAAGCACUUUAAGUUGGGAGGAAGGGCAGUGAGUUAAUACCUUGCUGUUUUGACGUUACCGACAGAAUAAGCACCGGCUAACUCUGUGCCAGCAGCCGCGGUAAUACAGAGGGUGCAAGCGUUAAUCGGAAUUACUGGGCGUAAAGCGCGCGUAGGUGGUUUGUUAAGUUGGAUGUGAAAGCCCCGGGCUCGACCUGGGAACUGCAUCCAAAACUGGCAAGCUAGAGUACGGUAGAGGGUGGUGGAAUUUCCUGUGUAGCGGUGAAAUGCGUAGAUAUAGGAAGGAACACCCGUGGCGAAGGCGACCACCUGGACUGAUACUGACACUGAGGUGCGAAAGCGUGGGGAGCAAA
RNAcentral lists this ribosomal RNA (749 nucleotides) under uncultured bacterium. RNAcentral's name for it is "bacterial SSU rRNA". It matches the Rfam family "Bacterial small subunit ribosomal RNA", at positions 28 to 772 of the family's 1533-position model. The record is from RNAcentral.